RNAcentral lists this long non-coding RNA (13915 nucleotides) under Podarcis lilfordi (Lilford's wall lizard). Lineage: Eukaryota; Metazoa; Chordata; Lepidosauria; Squamata; Lacertidae. The record is from RNAcentral.
CCUCUGCCGUCCCCUUCUCCUUGUGCCCUCCAUCUUUCCCAACAUCAGGGUCUUUUCCAGGGAGUCUUCUCUUCUCAUGAGGUGGCCAAAGUAUUGGAGCCUCAGCUUCACAAUCUGCCCUUCCAGUGAGCACUCAGGGCUGAUUUCCUUCAGAAUGGAUAGGUUUGUUCUUCUUGCAGUCCAUGGGACUCUCAAGAGUCUCCUCCAGCACCAUAAUUCAAAAGCAUCAAUUCUUCGGCGAUCAGCCUUCUUUAUGGUCCAGCUCUCACUUCCAUACAUCACUACUGGGAAAACCAUACCUUUAACUAUACGGGCCUUUGUUGGCAAGGUGAUGUCUCUGCUUUUUAUUUACUAGUACUGUUCCCUAUUACCCCAAAAAACAGCCGCAAUUUGCUGUUGACAAAGGACAGCUGGACAUAUAAAGGGCCCCAUUACCUUCAGUACCUUAGGGCCUCAUCAAAGCUAAAUCCGGCCCUGUGUGCAUUGUUCUUCUCCUCCUCAUUUAAUCUCUGCAACCACCCUGUGAGGUAGGCUGAGAGAAGACAGUGACUGGCCCAGUGUCACCCAGUGAGUUUCAUGGCCAAGUGGGGGUUCAAACCACGUCCUCAUCAUACACGCUAACCACUAAACCACACUGGCUCUCAAAGAGGCAGCAUUAAGCCCUAAUGUGAACAUAACCUUGGAUUCCCAUAGGUUUCUUUCUAGGUGCCUGGUGUUUUAUGAUUGGAAAUAUUUUGUACCUUUUUAAUUAAAUUAGAAAAAGUGCCCAGUGCUGUUUGCUUUUGUUUCUCUGAAUGCAGACCUACUAGAGGGAUGGAAACUGACUCGUCGAAGGAGAUAUUUGCAUCACUCUCUUUUCAGAAGCUGAUGAGGUUGGCAUAUGGAUCCGGGACCAAUAAAUGAAAAGUCACACAUCUGCGGAGAAACAAUAAAAAUAGCAAAAUAUUCUUUGGAUGGAAAUCUUCCCGUAUAAUAGGCUGGCCGUUAACGCCGACUGCAGAGAUUAAAAAAAUAUAUAUAUGGCGAAAUGGGAAACACAGGAGUAAGGGAGCUAGUUUCAGCUCAAGGGAGAUAACUGUUUCCCUAGCCAGACGACAUAAGGACUAUUGUUCUUAGCUCUCUGGUUGUGGCGUUUGAGAAGUUACACUAUGGAAAAACAUUUGGAACAGAAGCCUUAUUUGGGGACCAGAAAUGUGGUGUUUUUCAGAAGUGUUCCCCAUAGCGAAGGGGACUAGAGGCAACUGAGAAGGCACCUAACCCACAUCACACUAUAAAACAGGCCAAUGAUUCAUCCUGAAACUGAUGAAAAAAGCUUUCUUCAUUGCCGUUUUUUUUUUAUAAAACUGCAAAUAUAACGACAGAGGGGGGGAAAGGAGAAAAGGGGAUCUCUUCUUGUUUCUUUUUGGCAAUGCAAAUAUAAGCAUCCUACAUAUGGUGAAGGCUAGGACACAGCCCGUUCCAUGGGCUUGUAUUUAUAAGGAUGUGCUGGGUCCUAGGAAACAGAACACAAAGGCUGAGGAGCUGCACGAGGACCACCUAUUAAGCUGACUUCUAUAGAGUUAGAUGAUUAGUGGCUCACUUUGUUGUUGUUGUUUAGUCGUUUAGUCGUGUCCGACUCUUCGUGACCCCAUGGACCAGAGCACGCCAGGCACUUCUGUCUUCCACUGCCUCCCGCAGAUUGGUCAAACUCAUGCUGAUAGCUUUGAGAACACUGUCCAACCAUCUCGUCCUCUGUUGUCCCCUUCUCCUUGUGCCCUCCAUCUUUCCCAACAUCAGGGUCUUUUCCAGGGAGUCUUCUCUUCUCAUGAGGUGGCCAAAGUAUUGGAGCCUCAGCUUUAGGAUCUGUCCUUCCAGUGAGCACUCAGGGCUGAUUUCCUUAAGAAUGGAUAGAUUUGUUCUUCUUGCAGUCCAUGGGACUCUCAAGAGUCUCCUCCAGCACCAUAAUUCAAAAGCAUCAAUUCUUCGGCGAUCAGCCUUCUUUAUGGUCCAGCUCUCACUUCCAUACAUCACUACUGGGAAUACCAUAGCUUUUACUAUACGGACCUUUGGUGGCUCACUUACACACCAACAAAAAAAUGGUCCAUCAAACAGGGGGCACAGAUUUGCCUGUGUCGGUUUAUGCAUAUUGUCGCAGGGCCUUCUCAGCGGUGGCCCCACAAUUAUGCCAUUUGGUUCCUCUGGAGGUUAGGCAGGUCCUGUCCCAUGAGGCCUUGAAGACCUACUUCUCCCCUAAGGCCUCUGCAACUUCAUAAAAGGAAGAACUGCAAAUUAGGGCUGUUGUGCCAGGGUCUGGCUGAGUUGCACUGUUACUACAGUGGUACCUCUGGUUACGAACGCUUCUGGUUACGAAUGCUUCAGGUUACGAACUCCGCUAACCCGGAAGUAGCUGCUCCUGGUUGCAAACUUUGUCCCAGGAUGCGAACGGAAAUUGUGCACCAGAGGCGCGUGUGCAGGGGGAAACCCCAUUAGCGGAAACGCGCCUCAGGAUAAGAACAGUUUCAGCUUAAGAACAGACCUCUGAACGAAUUAAGUUCGUAAGGAGAUGUACCACUGUACAUUUUACUUUACUUUUUUGCUGGCUGUUUGACUUUUUAUCAUUAUGAAAUGGUAGAACAUGGGAUUCUUAAUCUCAGGGUUUGAGCCCCAUGUUGGGGAACAGAUUCCUGCAUUGCAUUGCGGUCCUUUCCAACUCUACAGUUCUAUGAUUCUAUGAUAUUAAAUGGUUUUAUGUGGUCUUGUAUUUGGAAUUGGAUUGCAUUUUAUAUAUUUUGCGAGUCAGGAUCUUGUAGAACUCCAUCCGAAAUGGAAACAGUAGCAGAAGUUGUCACAUUUUGCAUGUUCGUCAGAGGUCAAGAACAGAAAUCCGGCAAGUGAAUCCAAGCAGUUUUCUCUAUUUUUAGUUUCAGUUUUUUAAAACAAAUUGCAUUUUCUGCAUUGCUUUUGACAUUUGCCUUCCAUUGAAAUGCACCAGCUUUAUUUUCAUAGUUAACUACAUGAUUAAUUACAGUAGUUUUGACCAUAGUGGGCAGCAAGGCUCAAGCAGAAGACGAACUGUAAUAAAAGAGAAACAGCUAUGAUUGCUCCAGACACAGGACAGCAUGGAAACUGCUGCCUCCUUACAUCCCUAAAUUGUGAGCCACUUUUUAGAGGAGCAAGUGGAUUACAAAUCCAAUCCAAUAAGUAAACAAAUAAGACCUGUGUCAGUCCCAGACUUUUGUCCUCAAUCCUUUGCAAAGUUCAGUUUCAUGAGAAGGGGUUUUGUGAUGAAUCGCAAGGAAUGUGCUUGGGCUAGGAGCAGAGACUAUAGAAUCCAUUCAGGACAGUAUCCUGCAGUCCGGAAUUCCGUGGGUGAGAAAGUAUAAUUUUACAUGGAUUAACUAUUCCCUGUGCUGUCUUCGGAGGAUCUCUCCCGUCAUUUGUCUCAUCUCUGGCGUUUACACCACCAUUAGUCUCUGCGAAAAGAAACUCUGCACUUCUUUUGUUCCCACAAAAGCAACAAAUGGGGUCACCGAUAGGAAAUGCCAAAAGCCAUCGUUCAUCAGCUUGUUUUUUUAAUAUGAAAAAUUGAUCACACUACCCUUUGCUAAAGGGAGGAGGACAAAGACAAAUGAUGUAGUCUGAAAUCAAAACUACACAGCAGACCAAACUUUAUGGUGUGCACAUGGAAGCUGUACAUAGAUUGGCUUUGUAAUAUCUUCUUUUUAAAAGAUGGCGUGAACGGCCCAAAUUGUGGGUGUCAUAUUUGAGGCAAACCUCAUUAUCUGCAAGCUGUUUCUGAUUAAUCUUUCGUUUCGUUUUCACUCUAGCCCCACCCCACAGGUCGUUCUUCUAUAAUUUGGCCCUUUCCCAAACGAAAAUAAUGUGGAAAGAUUUUUUAAAAAACAAAAUAAUGGAUUCCCUGUGGUUGCUGCCCUGUGGUCUUCUUGUUCUUCCUGUUUCUUCUCAUUAUGAUAGAGAGGGAGGCUUUGGAACCUGUUUUGUAUUUGCGUUUCUUUCAAAUCUCAUUUUUAAUGGCACCUGCCAUUAUGACAUGACUAGAGGGUAGACCAGACAAGUGAGGAGGCAUUAGGCAGCCUUUGGUACGGAGACCUAUCAGAAAGAGGUCCAGGCGCACUGAUGCUUCCCACUGUCUGAGAAACACUGACCUAUACAGACUUGAAGCUCCCAGAUCUGCUUUCCGUCAAGUUUGACGCUACUGAGUUACGUUGUCUACACUCCAUGCAUUUAAAGGUACAUUCUACCCACACAAAGAACACUGGGAUCUAUAGUUUACCCCUCACAUAGCUACAAUUCUCAGCAUCCUUAAAAAACUACAUUUCCCAAGGUUCUUUGUGUGUGUGUGGAGGGGUUGCUUUAAAUGCAUGAUGUGUACACAGCCUCAUGUGAAUUAUUGGCCUGACUCAUUCUUACCAAAGAGUUCUUUAUAUUGUUACGAAAGUUGGGUGCCCCCUGCUCUCUCUGCCAAGUGGGUAGCAAAAGUCCAUGGGGUUUCCGGCACUCACACAGGGUCUGUGUUCCUUUGGAGAACUGAGACAUGGUGGAGACUGCCAUAGCUUUAAGAAAUAGUGUUUAUUCACCUAUUUACACACCUUCGGCCUGCAUGGAGGCGUCAGUUUGCAUUUCUUGGUGCAGAAAGUAUUGAUCUGAUGUGUAGAGAUCUUCCCUAUUCUAAUUAGUCCAAGAGGGUUCCGGAAGCUUCUCUGUGUGAAAGAAACAAGCAGAAGGUUCAUGAUGUUUGGGUUAUUCCUUCAGAGAAGCUGAGUACAGCUGGUUUAAACUGCUUCUUUUAGCUCUUCUGUCAAGGUCAUGCUGACUAUAAAAGUAAGGCCAAAAGGAUCCUGGGUUUCAGUUUCUCUUUCUAUCUCUUUUCCUUCUGGUGUGGUGUUCUGUACAUAGUAUGCUUAGUGUUAAGGUUUAGACUUAUUAUAAGUUAUUGUAAGUUUAAGUUAAGUCUGCUGCAACUGGAUUUUGCCCUUAGAAGCAGUAAAGCUCUGCUGGAUGAAAUACAAUUGCCUCUGGUCUAUUUUGGGGGGAAUCUUGCAACGUGUUUACUCUGCUAACUAUACAUUGGAGUUCUGCUCUGGAUCAAUAAUGAGUAGAAUUCCAUGACAGGAGGAAGUCCAGAUCUUACAGCAUGGUCAUCUCAAGAUGGGCUUGUCCUGCACAGCAGUGCAGCCCUGGAAUUCAAGGCAUCUCUCCCAGUCAGCCUUCAGCCAGCCUGCCCAAGAUGGAUCCCAGUCUUUUCUCUUCCUUUCUUCUACCCAGAAACCCUUUCCCAAACCCUCUUCCCCUGUCACCUCACACCCAGUUACCAUGGCAACCUUCCAACCCUCCCCCCCCAUUUAUUAAUUUCUAGGGUUUAGGGAGGCUUCCCCCCAAAUCUGUAACAAUAUCCAUACUGCAGAUGGCUCUCGCUGGUGCAGUGGCAAAUCAUGAUGCGGUGCAGACACUCUUCAUGACAAUCCCAUAGCCUUGCCCCUUCUACAACAAAAAAGGAUUUUUGAUCAACGCAGACAUUAUGAUUUCAAUACAAACCAAUUUUUACUCUCGGGUCUCCUCCUGUUUUUCCAGCCAAGUGGACAGUUGAGAACAGCCAAGGUUUAGCCACUACUUUGUGUCAUCAAGGUGACUUUAUUCAGUCUAAAAUAUAAUCAUGGAAUUGCAGAGUUGGAAGGGACCACAAGGGUCAUCUAGUCCAACCCCCUUGAAUGCAGGAAUCUUUUGCCGCACGUGGGACUCAAACCCACAACCCUGAGAUUUAGUGCCUCGUGUCUUACCAACCAAGCUAUCCAGUUAGAAGUGGAAAUUUAUCUUCUAGUGUAACUUACCUCUUCCUCUGGUUAACUUACUUGGCAGGUUUCUCUUUGAGGGGGGAAAAACUACACAAUUUAUUUGGCCAGCAGAAGAUGGCAAAAUUGUGCCCCAGGAGAUGGCACCCUUGUCCCUACGGUGAAAUAAGUGGCACCACAUUUUCCUGGACUUCCCCAUCUCCACUACACCACUGAACACACUAGCUCAGAGCUAGGGCAAUAUGUGCAGAUUUGUAAACCGUAGGACAACGCUUGCAUUUUAUCCGACUUGAGUGCAGUCUUCCUCUCCUGUUUUGCCAUCUAUGCAAAAGUUUACUCCUCCAGCCAGCAACUGCGUGCAAAGAGAAAGUGCAGACUUGUGAAGGAAUAAUUCUUUCCCCUCAUACGUGAGGAACAUGUUAAGGACAUCUCUGCUGCAGGGAGGGGGAGGGGGAGAGCAAAAAGUUAAGGAAAUAAAUUUGUUUCCCGGUUGUUAUCAUGAGACCUGACAGCCUUAACUUUACCACACUCUGAAACUGUUGUAAACAUGAUGAUGCAGAGAAAGUACAGUGGUACCUCGGGUUAUAGACGCUUCAGGUUACAGACUCCGCUAACCCAGAAAUAUUACCUCAGGUUAAGAACUUUGCUUCAGGAUGAGAACAGAAAUUGCGCGGCGGCGGCGGAGCAGCAGCAGCAGCAGCGGGAGGCCCCAUUAGCUAAAGUGGUACCUCAGAUUAAGAACGGUUUCAGGUUAAGAAUGGACCUCCAGAACGAACUAAGUUCUUAACCCGAGGUACCACUGUACAGUGGAACCUCGGGUUGUGAAUGUGAUGCGUGCAGGAGGCACGUUCACAACCCGCAGCGUUCGCAACCCGCAGCGCCGCGUCUGCGCAUGCACGGGUUGCAAUUCGGCGCUUAUGCGCAAAGCGGAAUUUAGCGUUUCUGCGCAUGCGCGAGCGCCAAAACCCGGAAGUAACCUGUUCCGGUACUUCUGGGUUCAGCGUGGUGCGCAACCUGAAAACGGGUAACCUGAAGCGUCUGUAACCCGAGGUACCACUAUAUACUUCAGAGUCAAGGAAUUGGGGGAAAUUCUCUUCCAGCUUAGUCACUUAGGGCUGAUCCAGACUUCCUUUUGUGCUGUGUUUCAAGGCACAGAUCUGCGCUUUAAAGCUCCAUGUCCAAGCACUUUUUCUCCCCUGUCACUUUCCCCACAAAAAUCCCUGCAUUCCAGGGGGUUGGACUAGAUGACCCUUGAAGUCCCUUAUAACUCUACAGUUCUAGGAUUCUAUGAAAACCACUGAAUUGGACAAACAGCAAUCUGAGGAAAACCGAAAGUAUGAAGUGAAGUCUUUACAAAGGUUUUCAGCGGCCAACCCACACCUGUCUAGACACGCAGUGGAAAAUAGAGCAUCCCUCAACAUUCAGGACUGGAUAGCUGACUUGCAGACCAGGCCUAUAUAUUCUCCCUUGGAAUUAACUUCCAGUAAACCAUUGCAUAAGCAAUCCUAAUUCUGCUGAGGGUGAGUAAACCUGUCUGAAGACGGUAGAACAUGUCCUUUUAUUUAAAAUGCAUCUCUGGGUUAUUUGUGGGGCAUAGAAAUUUGUUCAUUCCCCCCCCCCAAAAAAAAAUAGUCCGGCCCACCACAUGGUCUGAGGGACGGUGGACCGGCCCAUGGCUGGAAAAGGUUGCUGACCCCUGGAUUACACACACACAAGCAGUUAACCAUUUGGGGGGGAAGAAGUGAAUCUGGCAGAUUUUGUUGUGUGUGGUUUUCUGUGACACCAAGCAUCCAACUUCAGAUUUUUUAAAGAAGAAACAAAAGAGACAUAGCCCUACACAAAGACGUAGACUUCAAUGAGCCUCAGGCCUCUUGCUCCUCCUCUGUAGGGUCACUACCUGACCCUUUUAAUAAGGGACUGUCCCUUAUUUCAAGGGGAAAUGCUGCAUCCCUUAAGGCAGAGGCAUAACUACAGGGGCAGGGUGCACUGGGCGGCAUUUACCACCGGGCCUGCAGCGCGCCCAAGCCAUGCGUCUCUUCUGCGAAUGCUGUGGUGGCUCGGGUGCCUGCAGGCUCCACACUGCCCGAAACAGCCUUAAGGGAUACAGUUUGUCCCUUAUUUCUGCCUUGCUUUCUUUUCCCCAGGGAUGCGGGUGGCAUGUGGGUUAAACCACAGAGCCUAGGACUUGCAGAUCAGAAGGUUGGCAGUUUGAAUCCCCGCGAUGGGGUGAGCUCCCGUUGCUCGGUCCCUGCUCCUGCCAACCUAGCAGUUCGAAAGCAUGCAAAGUGCAAGUAGAUAAAUAGGUACCGCUCCGGUGGGAAGGUGAACGGUAUUUCCGUGCGCUGCUCUGGUUCGCCAGAAGUGGCGUAGUCAUGCUGGCCACAUGACCCGGAAGCUGUACGCUGGCUCCCUCGGCCAAUAAAGUGAGAUGAGCGCCGCAACCCCAGAGUCGGCCACGACUGGACCUAAUGGUCAGGGGUCCUUUACCUUCUUCUCCCCACCUCCUCCUCCACCUCGCGAGGCCCCAGACACCACCUCCGGGGUUUGGGGACACAACUUCUAGGUCUUCGCGAAGCACUGGAAGCCAUGUCCUGAGGCCUCCAAGGUGGCCUCUGAGGCCUUGUGAGUCCCCUGACAUGACUUUCAGGGCUCCCAGGCACCGCUACAUCAUGCACACUGCUGGGCACCGAUAAUCUGGGGCCCAAGUUGGCACCCCUGAUGAUGCAUGUAUGUGUGUGGCAUUAGCAGCUGCACAGAAAGGGAUGUUGGAGGCAAAGCUCUGUGAGGAAAAGAAACAGAUUUUGUUGCUGUCUUCACCCCUCUUUCUUUUUUGACUGAGUUUUCUAUGUUUACCAUUCUUCUGACAAGGAGAAGCCUAGCAGGUGGGGAGGAUGUGAGUCAUGGAAACUAAUGUGCAUUGCUAACUUAGAUCUGUACAUUUCAUUGGGUCUCCUCUAUGAGUAUGACCAGCACUGGAAACAACUCCUUGUAAUGGAUUGCUUUGAAGUCAUUUCUGCACUGGGUAAAGUAAUUUUUAGCCCCCCAGUUCCCCCUUCCCGACUUGAGCCACAUUUUGCCCAACCCUACUCCUCUGGCACAGCCACAAGUAGGAGUUUAGGAAGAGCCCUGCUGGAUCAAGACAAAAAAAGCCUAUCUAGAUGCUCACAAGCUGGACCUGAGCACAAUAGCUCUUUGCAGCAACUGGAAAUCAGAGGGAUACUGCCUUUGAUAAGGGACCUUGUGCAGCUGAAGUACUAGUAGCCAUUGAUAGUAUUGUCCUCCAUGAAUUUGGAAGGUAUCCCUUUCCAUUUCAGAUUAAACUACUCAGCUUGCCCUGCUGCCUCGAACAGGACAAACUGUGGUUAUUCCUAACUACGGUUUCUUCAGGCAAGCCAACUUCAAACCAUUGUUUAUAAAGAUGGCUUGUUUCAACAAGCCCCAGUUUAUCUACAGGUUCAGGGUUUGGGCAACACAAGAAACUGCAGUUAAUAUUCUAAAGCAUAAGCUUCCAAAUCCUACCCACUUCUUAGAGGAGAAAAGAGCGUGUGAGCCUGAGGGUCGCUGAGGUUCGUUCUCAUAAUUCUAAAUUGCGAUUUAGCGUUACAUCCAAACGUAGCUGAAUAGCGCUGAAGGAAAUCUCCCCAUGUGUGUAUUGUUAAAGGUGCUCGAAUAAUCUUCUGCAACGUAUCUGGAAAGCCCCCUGUUUUCUCAUAUAACCUGCAGUCUGCAAAAUGUGAGGCCUACGUUUGCAACUGUUACUAGGAGUGAAAUCCUUUAUGUGACCCAAGGGAGAUGUGAAAUGCAAGCUCCCUUCCAUGGUAUCCCAGUGUAAGCCAUGCCAGCAGCUCCAGUAUAAUGUUUUCCAAUAUUUUUUUAUGAUCUCAUGUUUAGAUUAUAUUUGUUCUGCUGGAAAGGUGUGAGGUCUGAGUGAUUCCUUUAGGAAGGGGGAGUGGGGGAGACACCAGGUUGUCCCCAAGGUUGAGGGGGCCUGGACUCUUUGCAACAAAGAUUGAGGGGGUCAAAGACACGUCAGCCCCCUAAAAUUGGCAUGCCAGGCAGGGAUAGCAGGAUUUAGCUAUAUCUGGGGCAAGGAUGAGACAAAAUCAAUGUCUCCAGCUGAUGUGCUAAGAUCUUGGCCCAAACAAUAAGAUAACAGGAUCUCGGUCAAGGAUUGAAGAGUUUGAACCAAAAUUAUUCAGUUCUCCCCUCCAUCAAACUAUUGUGAAUCAUGGACACAGAAGCAACCCAAGCUGCUCUGAGUCAUGACUUUGUGGCGUCUACAGCAGGAUUCAGCUAAGUUGUUGUGUGCGCAGAAUGAGGUCUGCUCGCACACCAGGACUUUCCCCUCCCCUCGCACACCACCACACUCUCCCUAAAUCUGCCCUGGAGAGUUUAGGGGAAACCCAGAAUGUGUUCAGACAUAAGACAAUUGCACACUCAAGCCUAUUCAACAUUCCUCUGCAUAUCAAAGCCUUUUUCCACCUUAACAAGCCAUUGCCUACAACUGACAAAAUGACUGCCCAAGUGCUCUACACCUGCAAAUUCUGUUUCCUUUGAUAUGCCACAGCAUGCAUGUGCUGCUGGGCUGUCAACCAUCAAGCACAAGGUUCUUAUCAGGUCCUUCAAGGUCCUUACUAUGGGCUGCCCAACUCAAUGCAGAUGAUCAAACAUUGGCAUUUACCAGUGAGUAUUGUUUUUAGACAAUACUCUUUUUGUUUUCUAGACAAACCUAGAUAGCAUCUUAAAAAGUAGAGACAUCACCUUGCCAACAAAGGUCCGUAUAGUAAAAGCUAUGGUUUUCCCAGUGGUGAUGUAUGGAAGUGAGAGCUGGACCAUAAAGAAGGCUGAUCGCCGAAGAAUUGAUGCUUUUGAAUUAUGGUGCUGGAGGAGACUCUUGAGAGUCCCAUGGAAUGCAAGAAGAUCAAACCUAUCCAUUCUGAAGGAAAUCAGCCCUGAGUGCUCACUGGAAGGACAGAUCCUGAAGCUGAGGCUCCAAUACUUUGGCCACCUCAUGAGAAGAGAAGACUCCCUGGAAAAGACCCUGAUUUUGGGAAAGAUGGAGGGCACAAGGAGAAGGGGACGACAGAGGACGAGAUGGUUGGAUAGUGUUCUUGAAGCUACCAGCAUGAGUUUGACCAAACUGCGGCAGGCAGUGGAAGACAGAAGUGCCUGGCGUGCUCUGGUCCAUGGGGUCACGAAGUGUCGGACACGACUAAACGACUAAACAACAACAACAACAACAAUUUGUUUUUAGAAAGCAACUUCUGGUCCUGCUACCAGCUGCACGGGGGCUUUGACCCAGCACCCCUUUGGGAGCAUAAUGCUGCUACUUCGCAGGAGGGAAUUACAUAGGUGAGAUCAAACAAUAUUUUCUCUGGCUAACAGAGAGACAGCUUGCUAAGUCAUCAAUUCCCAUCCAGAGUUGUUAUCUUGUAUCUGUGUCCCAACUCAAUCUUAUUCUCACAACAACACUGUGAGGCAGGUUAGCCUGAGAGAAUAUGAGUUGCCCAAAGUCACCCACUGACCUUCCAUGGGUGAACGUCAAGGGGACAAAAACCCAGGUCUAUAAAUCCUCAUAUUUAUAGUCUAAAUACUACACCACCCUAGGAACAAAUCUCAAACUCUGAAACAGCUGUUAUAUAAAGUCGCCCAAUAGGCAUUAUACUCAUUAAGUGAGUGUAAUGGAGGGGGGUAUAGAGAGGAACUAUUUGUAGGCUUGCCAUACAUCAGGAAAAUUCCUGACAUGUCCUGGUUUUCAGGUGUAAAAAUGGCACGGGGGGGGGGGGGAUUUUGCUGAAUCGGCAAAACAUCAGGGAAACCCGGAUGUAAGGCGACACGAUGGAAAAAGCAGCAGAAACAGCUCCAGAAGCUCAAAAACUUUGCGGGUGUCAGGAAUUUUACUUUUUGACCCUAACCAUUUGGAGUUAUUGGAUAGGGGGUGGGGCUCUUCCCCAUCCAAGGAAAGUACUUUUGGACUUUGCAACAAAACCAUCCAAUCUGUUGCAUAUCAAAAAGGCAUUUGUUUGUGCAAUAAGGAAUUCUCCCCACCCACCCGACAGAGAAAGCUUUUGUAUGGAAGCAACAAAACCUAACUUCACAAUGCACAUAAUAUACAAGGCUUCAAGUUGGAUUAAGUGUACCCCACGGUUGAAAAACAAGCUUUUAGAUUAUUAUUUUUUUAAGUGCAUGCACACACAAUACGUUAACAGUAUUCGCUCCAUGAACUCCAAGUUUCCACCCUCAAUCUAAUCCUGCUGUCACAGCUCAUGAUCUCCUGUUUUAUUGAACGUCGUGAUAAGCACACAUCAUUUAUCUGCUGAAGUGGCAUGCCGUCUUCAUAGACCCAGGGUGGGGGGAGGCAGAAUCGCAGUCUGGGGACUGAUCUGUCCAGCUAUUUCAGGGAAACCUUAUGCACGUCUACUCUGAAGGAAGUCCAACAAGGCUUACUCCUGGGUGAGCAUGGAUAGGAUUGUGGCUUAAAUCAGUUUGCCCGUGGGAUGAAGCAAACAUAAGCCACAUAUCAUGAGAACAGCGGAGAAGAACAGGAACUCAAAAGCUAAAAGGCAAAUAUGGGUUAGAGACACUUCCACCUAGCGCUUGGUUUCUGGAAGUUAUUGUGAUUUAUGAAAUGAACUUGUGCUCAGAUUUUAAGCCUCCUAGCCAGCCUCCAUGUCCCUUCUGUACAGUAUCCAUCGCAGUGUUGGCAUCAAACCAGGAAUUUCACAAUGAGGUUACAAAAUAGUGGUUGAGCUUAUUCCAAGCUUCUUCUUCUUUGAAACCCACCCAUCCACCACCCACACAACUCUGCGCCCAGCCAAAUUAUGCAAAUAGUAUAGUUUUUUGUUGUUGUUUUUUUGCAUAGUUUAUCCUGGGGGGGGGGACAAGGAGCUACACAUGAUAUUGAAACCACCCUCUUUCUGGCUUCUGACAUUUCAUCAGGGGCUGCCUACAAGUUUUCAUGAGCAUUUCAUAAAAUGUAAGGGCUAGAAACUUGCUCUUUAUACAUUGAAGCUGAUUGUUGCUUUCAAAUCUAAGCUUUUAACUACAAUAAUGGAAUGAUAAUUCUAAAACUUUUUUUUAAAAAAAUGAACAUGAAAGACAGUGAAAACACAGGUAUUAUAAAACAGGGGUCAAGACCAGGGGGCUAAAGGAAGUCAAGAGGGAUUAUUUUGACAUUUUGACCUGCUUGUUUAAUUUCUUUUGUUUGCUUGUUCGUAGGGUUAUUGAAAAGUAGGUCCGUUGUUUCUUUGAAGAAACCAGACCUGCUUGCAAAAAAAAAAAAAAGUAAAUGCAACAAAAUAAAAAAGUAAAAGGGGACGCAGAGCAUCUCGACAGCAGAAAAGCAUCAUUAGUGCAGCAUUUGCGUAUCAAUAUAACAGAACUGAAGAGAUGAAAGAGACUCCUGAGUGUCAUCUAGCCCAAAGCCCUGAGGGUCACCUCAUCCAACACACACCUGUUUGUACCCAUAAUACUUCUAAGGAUGUUCCAUUGCAAUGGAGCAUGGUCAGUAGCAGCAGCGGAAGCCCUGUGCUAUCCCCAAAUACCUGCUGGACCUUAGAGGUGAAAAAUGCUUAACAAUAAAGAGCAUAAAUUACUACUAUUACUAAUAAUAAUUUACAUACACCAUGACUGCCAAAAUGGCAUCUAAGUAGGUACAAAACAGACUAUGAAAAAUAUGUUGUUGUUGUUUAGUAGUUUAGUCAUGUCUGACUUUUCGUGACCCCAUGGACCAGAGCACGCCAGGCACUCCUGUCUUCCACUGCCUCCCGCAGCUUGGUCAAAUUCAUGCUGGUAGCUUCGAGAACACUGUCCAACCAUCACGUCCUCUGUCGUCCCCUUCUCCUUGUGCCCUCCAUCUUUCCCAACAUCAGGGUCUUUUCCAGGGAGUCUUCUCUUCUCAUGAGGUGGCCAGAGUAUUGGAGCCUCAGCUUCAGGAUCUGUCCUUCCAGUGAGCACUCAGAGCUGAUUUCUUUCAGAAUGGAUAGGUUUGAUCUUCUUGCAGUCCAUGGGACUCUCAAGAGUCUCCUCCAGCACCAUAAUUCAAAAGCAUCAAUUCUUCGGCGACCAGCCUUCUUUAUGGUCCAGCUCUCACUUCCAUACAUCACUACUGGGAAAACCAUAGCUUU